Molecule: long non-coding RNA, 222 nt
Organism: Pleuronectes platessa (European plaice)
Lineage: Eukaryota; Metazoa; Chordata; Actinopteri; Pleuronectiformes; Pleuronectidae
Exons: 3
Source: RefSeq, a predicted model, not a curated record
AGAGAAUGUGCUGUGCUGAUAUGGUUUAUGUAAUAUUUUUCAAAAUCUUUCAAUAAUUUGGGUUUAUGUGUUCUACUAGAUCCUGAACUCUUGUCUCAAAAUGAUUGAGAAGAGAGUAGAGAACCUGUUUGCUGCAGACAGCUAUGUCAUUUCCUCUUGGUUCCCACCAUCAUCGAGGAACCCCAUGGAUCACCUUUCGGAUAAUGCAGCCAGUCUGCAGUG